Long non-coding RNA from Felis catus (domestic cat), 1659 nucleotides. RefSeq lists it as uncharacterized. The record is from RefSeq and is a predicted model, not a curated record. The transcript is spliced from 9 exons. Lineage: Eukaryota; Metazoa; Chordata; Mammalia; Carnivora; Felidae.
GUGUUAAUUAUAGUUCGGUCUUUUAAUAAUAAUUGAGCUCACUAGCACGAGAUUUCUAAGAGGUGCACAGUUGUGAGCAAACUCAGUGGACCUGCCAGACUUUCUAAAAUAAGUACUAGCCGAUUGCCCACUUCUGAGUUUAAGAGCCAGUGGCAGAAUUAUGCGGAUGAUUCCUGUGUUGCUUCUAGGAGACUGCCAAGAAUCAUGCAGCCUGCAAAAACUAGUUUCAGGAAAACCACAGUCUUCAUAGCAGUUUCAAGAAUACGUAUUAUAUACACGUUAAAUACAACACAGUCUGAAUUCAUGGUGAUCACCCUUUUUAAUUCCUUUAAAGAUGGCAUAUCCCUGGCAUACAGGAAGGUAAUGCCAGUGAAUCAGAAACAUGCCAGCAGGAGAAGAUUUGGUUCAAAAUAAGCCCCUGGGGCAUUUUGGAGAAAAUCACAUUUAAUCACGAUGACAGCGAUUUAAAAUAGCCUCUUUUCAUCGUACCAGUCUUCUACCUCAUAUCCACCUUUUACUAACAAGGCCAAGGAGUAGGUCAUUGACAAGAGACUUCUGUGACUUUAGUAGGAAACAGAUGUGGAAGUACUAACCCUACUUUUUCUGGCACCCGAACGGACAGUCUACGGGAGGGAAGUGACAUGGAGAAGCCAUGGGGCUGACUAUAAGAGUGAGCAGGUGCCAGCCGGGCAGAGCUGAGGGGAACGCCAGGCUCACUGGAUGACUGCAUGGGUGCUGUGUUCGGUAACAGGAGUCACCUGGUAUGAAGGAUAUGGAUUUGGGAGAAAUGAUCUUAUCAGACAACUUGACCUGAUAAACCAAAUGGAGGACUGCCUUAAGUCUGGUACCACCAAUCAAAACACAAAUUGGGAGAUUGAAUAACACAGCACUUCCAUUUAGAAAGGCACCUGAGAUAGCAGAGAAUAAAAUGAAACUAAAAAAUUCUUCUUCUCAAGAAGCUUCAUCCUAAUAGAGAUGGACAGUUAAUGAAGAAUGAAUAGAUUUUGUGCUGAGAACUCUCCUACAUCGUGCUGGUAGACACAGAUUCCAUGACUAAAUAACAGAGGACUUUUGCGUUUGUGCAAGUUCUCCCCUACAGAAGACAAUAAUGAUACAGGCAUUUAAACAAAGAGGCUUGGAUUGAGAAGAAAAAUAUCAACUACUGAAAUUGUCUAAGAGGAAGGAAAAAGGAAUUCAGAAGCUUAUGGAUGAAGAAGGAGCAAAAGGGAAUUCAGAGGACAUCCUAAUUAAAAAUGAAAAUGGAUCAUCACACAAGUAGCUUAUUAUGAGAUGUAAAACUCCAUGGAAAAUGAAUAUAAUCUUUCUCAAGCAGGGGAAACCUCACGCUCCACUCCCCGGGACCAGACCUCAGCCCAACCUGCCUCCAUUGCCUGUGAUUUGUGUGGAUGUAGAGCAAGUGGGGUUUGGAGGGGACCGUACACAGGGCUGCACGAAGACGAGAAAGAGGAGGAUGCUGACUGACCUUGGAAGGUGGCUGAAGCUUCCAGACCCCGGGUGUUAUCAGACAUGGCACAAGCAAUGAUCCAGGUAAAGGAUGCUCUACCAGCCUGGCUCCUAAGUGAAGACAAAGUGGAACACAGCCAUAGCUGAUCUGUGAUGGACAUGUAACAUGAGUGAAAAUAAACCACUGUUGCUUUU